AGACCCAGGCGCGGCGUUUUACCUGCAGCGGCUGUGCUCGCCCCGCCGCGACCCCCGCAGGACGGAGCCGGAUCCCCCUGCACUCGGGCGGACCUGGGACCCUCAGAGGCGAGCCGGCUGCCUCGGGUCACACAUCCGCGAACUCCGGGGGCGGGCUCCCCAGGACGCCGCCGACCCCCCACGACCCCCAGCCCUCCCGCUUCCGUGGAAAGCCGCCCCGACGACCCCUGUGCGGGCUGUUGAGGGGCCGCACCCCGCCGACCGCUGUGGGAACACCUCCGCGCGUGCGGCGGGGACGCGGCGAGUCCGGGGCAGGAAGAACGCACGGGUAAUUGCACCUUCGGCAGGUGUUGGGCGGGAGCAAGGGGGUCAGACUCGCGCUGCAGGGGGAGGGCGGGGGAGGCCUCGCUGUCCUGGAGGAAGGGGACAAAGACCCCUGCCCAGGAGCCUGGGAGCCUUUGAAAGUAAUGAUUUUUUGGCGGGGGGGGGUUGUCACGAGACACCCUAGACAUUUCUAAAAGGCCCCCUCCCCGCUGCCGGGUGGAGAGGGAGCGUGGGGGGAUCCGCCUUCUGCCCCCGAGCCCCCAGCCAGCCUGGGCCCCCCAGGGUCACCCUGGGGCUCUGAAGGGGGCUUCGGCCGCUGGUUGAAUGAAGGGCCACAGAAAAUGAAGCUGGCGCAACGACCGCAGAACCCUCAGUGGGCACCAGGACCACGGAGCUCAGGGUGCCAAUGAUGGAGACAACAGGAAGGAAAGAGACCUUCCUGGUCACACUUGGGCCACAGGAGAACAGGCAGCGGCCCAGGAGGAUCCAGGGUCCUGAUGGUGGUUGAGAAGCUGGUUCUUAGUGAUCACUCAGAAACGUCGGCCUGGCCUUGUGGGGUCAGACCUUGCAUCUCAGUCAGCCCAGGGAGAAGAAGAAGAUGGUCCACACCCAAGUGCAGGGAACAUCGUGGCAGUCGGCUGGGUGCCUGCGUCCAGGCGAGGACACCUCCCGCAUCAGGGAAACACACGUUUCUGGAGUGAGGAGGCUGAA
RNAcentral lists this long non-coding RNA (1035 nucleotides) under Homo sapiens (human). Its description in RNAcentral is "HSALNT0360978". Lineage: Eukaryota; Metazoa; Chordata; Mammalia; Primates; Hominidae. The record is from RNAcentral.